CAUGCUUUAGCUUAAACUUAAUUCAUGUUCAACACAUCAACAUAUAGUAGCAUGCUUGAUAUCCCCCAAUUACUAUCAUAUAAUCUCAUUUUACAACUCAAAGAGUACAAUUACACAAGCAUCAAACAUGUAGCUAUCUUAUAUCAAGAAUUCCCAAAUCCAUUGAAACUAAACUAUUAGAAAAUCAUGAUUUCUUGCAAAUAAAAACUCAA
This 212-nucleotide long non-coding RNA is filed under the name Salvia miltiorrhiza (redroot sage). Its description in RNAcentral is "long non-coding RNA (SMIL_LNC000955)". Lineage: Eukaryota; Viridiplantae; Streptophyta; Magnoliopsida; Lamiales; Lamiaceae. The record is from RNAcentral.